RNAcentral lists this ribosomal RNA (61 nucleotides) under Tricholoma matsutake. RNAcentral describes it as "partial 28S ribosomal RNA". Lineage: Eukaryota; Fungi; Basidiomycota; Agaricomycetes; Agaricales; Tricholomataceae. The record is from RNAcentral.
UUUUGACCUCAAAUCAGGUAGGACUACCCGCUGAACUUAAGCAUAUCUUGGGCGCGGAGGA